RNAcentral lists this ribosomal RNA (1049 nucleotides) under uncultured fungus. RNAcentral's name for it is "eukaryotic LSU rRNA". The stretch from base 472 to 1049 matches the Rfam family "Eukaryotic large subunit ribosomal RNA", at positions 1 to 593 of the family's 3401-position model. The record is from RNAcentral. Lineage: Eukaryota; Fungi.
UCAUUACAGAGUUGCAAAACUCCAAACCCUUUGUGAACUUACCUAUAACGUUGCUUCGGUAGGCAGCCCCAGGGCGGGGCUAUGGCCUUUAUGGUGCCUGCCGGAGGUAUUUUUAAACACUAUUUUUUAUUGCUACACUUCUGAGUAAAAAAUAAAUAAGUCAAAACUUUCAGCAACGGAUCUCUUGGUUCUGGCAUCGAUGAAGAACGCAGCGAAAUGCGAUAAGUAAUGUGAAUUGCAGAAUUCAGUGAAUCAUCGAAUCUUUGAACGCACAUUGCGCCCACUAGUAUUCUGGUGGGCAUGCCUGUUCGAGCGUCAUUUCAACCCUCAAGCACUGCUUGGUGUUGGGGCACUGCCAUGCUGGCAGGCCCUGAAAUAUAGUGGCGGGUCUGCUGUAAUCCCGAACGUAGUAACAUACCUCGUUUAGGGCGUUAUAGUGGGCGCUGCCGUUAAACCCCCACUUAUCAAGGUUGACCUCGGAUCAGGUAGGAAUACCCGCUGAACUUAAGCAUAUCAAUAAGCGGAGGAAAAGAAACCAACAGGGAUUGCCCUAGUAACGGCGAGUGAAGCGGCAACAGCUCAAAUUUGAAAUCUGGCUUCGGCCCGAGUUGUAAUUUGCAGAGGAAGCUUUUGGCGCGGUGCCUUCUGAGUUCCCUGGAACGGGACGCCAUAGAGGGUGAGAGCCCCGUAUAGUUGGACACUAAGCCUUUGUAAAGCUCCUUCGACGAGUCGAGUAGUUUGGGAAUGCUGCUCAAAAUGGGAGGUAAAUUUCUUCUAAAGCUAAAUACCGGCCAGAGACCGAUAGCGCACAAGUAGAGUGAUCGAAAGAUGAAAAGCACUUUGAAAAGAGGGUGAAAUAGUACGUGAAAUUGCUGAAAGGGAAGCGCCUAUGACCAGACUUGUGCCUGGUGGAUCACCUAGCGUUCUCGCUGGGGUACUCUGCCUGGUUCAGGCCAGCAUCGGUUUUCCUAGGGGGAUAAAAGCUUUGGGAACGUAGCUCUUCGGAGUGUUAUAGCCCUUUGCAUAAUACCCCUUGGGGGGACCGAGGU